UGAUUGGAUCUGGAAGCUUUUUGUGAGGU
Molecule: non-coding RNA, 29 nt
Filed under: Macaca fascicularis (crab-eating macaque)
Lineage: Eukaryota; Metazoa; Chordata; Mammalia; Primates; Cercopithecidae
Also listed under: 1 other name
Source: RNAcentral